This is a long non-coding RNA of Vicia villosa (hairy vetch), 697 nucleotides long. RefSeq lists it as uncharacterized. NCBI's taxonomy places the organism in Eukaryota, Viridiplantae, Streptophyta, Magnoliopsida, Fabales, Fabaceae. The transcript is spliced from 5 exons. The record is from RefSeq and is a predicted model, not a curated record.
AGCCCUAGUAAUUACAACUUGUAAGGUGUGUCCUAUCAUGUCCAACGAUGCUAAGGAAAGUGAGGAAUCUAAGAAGAAAGCAUACCUAGUGUUUGAACUUGAAGAUGGUUCUGUUGAAGAGAUAGAGGAGGAGACUCUGUUCAAAGAAGUGAGUCGUCGUAUAUUAGAAGAACAAACUCCUGAGGAGAUUUCUAAGAUAAUUGAUAUGUGUAAAAAUAUCAAAAAGGAGGAAAAAUUGGAACCGGACGUAAACAAAGUUACUGAUGAUCCACGUAUGAGACUUCUCAAUAAGUUACAUGCUAAGAAAGAGAAAGAACUGAGGAAGAAAUUUAAGGUAUACUAUAUUGCAAUAGUAUUUCACCUAUUAAUAAAUAAGUAGUAAUUUUCUUAAUUUUUGUAUAUAUAAAAUUAGCUUAAUGCGUCUAAGGAUGAUGAAGUAGUAAAAGAAUCAAAGGAAGAACCUUCAGUUGAUGAGUUGCUUUCAUUUAUUAAUGGCAAUGACGGAGAAGAUACAAAAGGGGCUAGAAGAAACAAGAAAAAGAAGAACAAAGGAAGGAAAGACAAUACCAAAUGUCAUUCUUCAAAGAAUGCAAAUGAAGAUUAUAAUGAGAUCUCUACUUCUCAAGAUCAUGCUACUACUCUUGAGGAACUUAUUGAAGAUGAUUUUGAUCCUGUAUUGAAGGAAAAUCUUGAUAGG